This 109-nucleotide microRNA precursor is filed under the name Chlorocebus sabaeus (green monkey). RNAcentral's name for it is "miRNA (ENSCSAG00000022999.1)". The record is from RNAcentral. Lineage: Eukaryota; Metazoa; Chordata; Mammalia; Primates; Cercopithecidae.
UGAGGCAGGAGAAUCACUUGAACCCAGGAGGCGGAGGUUGCAGUGAGCCCAGAUUGCACCACUGCACUCCAGCCUGGGCAACAGAGACUCCGUCUCAAAAAAAAAAAAA